This 497-nucleotide ribosomal RNA is filed under the name uncultured bacterium. Its description in RNAcentral is "partial 16S ribosomal RNA". It matches the Rfam family "Bacterial small subunit ribosomal RNA", at positions 28 to 507 of the family's 1533-position model. The record is from RNAcentral.
GAUGAACGCUGGCGGCGUGCCUAAUACAUGCAAGUCGAGCGAACAGACGAGGAGCUUGCUCCUCUGACGUUAGCGGCGGACGGGUGAGUAACACGUGGAUAACCUACCUAUAAGACUGGGAUAAUUGCGGCAACCCGGAGUUAUUACCGGGUAAUAUUUUGAACUGCAUGGUUCAAUAAUGAAAGAUGGUUUUGCUGUCACUUCUAGAUGGAUCCGCGCCGCAUUAGCUAGUUGGUAAGGUAACGGCUUACCAAGGCAACGAUGCGUAGCCGACGUGAGAGGGUGAUCGGCCACACGGGAGCUGAGACGCGGUCCAGACUCCUACGGGAGGCAGCAGUAGGGAAUCUGCCGCAAUGGGCGAAAGCCUGACGGAGCAACGCCGCGUGAGUGAUGAAGGUCUUUGGAUCGUAAAACUCUGUUAUUAGUGAAGAACAAAUGUGUAAGUAACUAUGCACGUCUUGACGGUACCUAAUCAGAAAGCCACGGCUAACUACGUG